AUAGGAAAACUCAAAUAUGGAAAGAAGAAAAAAAAAAAAAUAAUAAUUAAAAGUAAUAAUAAUAAUAAUUCAGUUAACCUGCACAGUGAUACCCAGGGUUGUGAGAACAGCCCAGUGAUUUUUGAGAACUGGUCAACUCGUGAGCCUGAGAUUUGGGUUCACCAUCUCACAGUGGAACUGUACUGCAGUACGUGGAUGCUACAGUAACAAAGGACUGUGUGCAAUGGACUGUGAGCUUGCUGAAUUUCUUGAUUUAAAUGGCUAUCAAGUUUCUCAACAGAAAGAACAACCGAUCAAAGAGAAGGAAGCAACUUGCUGAAUACCCAGAACGCCAACACAGAGCUGCCUCCAAGCCAGCAGUGUGUGACUGCAUGGAGACUACGUGUGCAAGUUGGUCAGAGCUACAGGAGGAACCGUUGGACGAUGCUGAGGAGUCCUGGAUUCAUCGACGGAAGCAGUUUUGUGAAGACAAGGAAACCGUAAGGCAGGACAUGCAGUAACUGCUAUUGACAAGAUUCGCCCCUGGAACCAAGGUGGGUAGGUCUGUUCCAGGCGCUACUAACAUCACACACAAUAGUGAAAGCAUUGUGGAUACAUCAUACUAGAGUUAAGAAGGUCCAUCGAACACAAUGAGAAAUGCAAUCAGCUGGACCCUUAAAAUUGUGAAUCUAAGGACAGAAAUGUGGGCUCUUGUAACUGUUAGAAAUGUUGAUUUGAUGAGUGCAGCAUUUGAUGUAAAUACUUAUGUAUCUCUUGU
This is a long non-coding RNA of Tympanuchus pallidicinctus (lesser prairie-chicken), 757 nucleotides long. RefSeq lists it as uncharacterized. NCBI's taxonomy places the organism in Eukaryota, Metazoa, Chordata, Aves, Galliformes, Phasianidae. The record is from RefSeq and is a predicted model, not a curated record. The transcript has 2 exons.